Molecule: ribosomal RNA, 477 nt
Filed under: uncultured bacterium
Lineage: Bacteria
Description: partial 16S ribosomal RNA
Rfam family: Bacterial small subunit ribosomal RNA
Source: RNAcentral
GAUGAACGCUGGCGGCGUGCUUAACACAUGCAAGUCGAACGAGAAGUGAAGACGGAAACCUUCGGGCGGAAGGCUUUAUUUCGAGUGGCGGACGGGUGAGUAACGCGUGGGUAACCUGCCUCAUACAGGGGGAUAACAGUUGGAAACGACUGUUAAUACCGCAUAAGACCACAGCACCGCAUGGUGCGGGGGUAAAAACUCCGGUGGUAUGAGAUGGACCCGCGUUCGAUUAGCCAGUUGGCGGGGUAACGGCCCACCAAAGCGACGAUCGAUAGCCGAUCUGAGAGGAUGACCGGCCACAUUGGGACUGAGACACGGCCCAAACUCCUACGGGAGGCAGCAGUGGGGAAUAUUGCACAAUGGGGGAAACCCUGAUGCAGCGACGCCGCGUGAGUGAAGAAGUAUUUCGGUAUGUAAAGCUCUAUCGGCAGGGAAGAAAAUGACGGUACCUGAGUAAGAAGCCCCGGCUAACUACGU